RNAcentral lists this long non-coding RNA (310 nucleotides) under Phoenix dactylifera (date palm). RNAcentral describes it as "long non-coding RNA (PDAC_LNC001043)". Lineage: Eukaryota; Viridiplantae; Streptophyta; Magnoliopsida; Arecales; Arecaceae. The record is from RNAcentral.
UCACGGGAGAACUAAAAAUCCAACAACCAUCUCAACAAGAAUCUGAAAAAAAUGUUUAUCGUUUAAUUCAUAGGUCAACGAGAGCCUUGACUCAAGUAGCUCACCAGAGAUGUUGGAGUUGAAGCUGGCGGAGAAGUCAAAAGAGUCGUGAAGGAGAUUUGUUGCAUCAAGGCUCGAGACGAUGGAGGCAGGCAGGCUUCGCAUCGGAGGAUCGGAUGGUGAGCUCCCGGAGCUAAAAGUCGACGAAUCCGGAGACGGCAAUUGAAUGAAUGACGAAGAGGGAUUCCGAGUUAAUGAUUUUUUUACUGUU